UGAGAUUGAAGAUAAUGCUGUGGAUGAUGAUGAAGCUGAGAAUGAUGGGGAUUGGAACUCUUGCGAAGAUCAAGACUCUGAUGGGGAAGACGAUGUAGAAUAUGAACGGGAAAAACUAAGUAAUCUAUUAACCAGACCAUCUGCAGCUCAUCCUUUGGCUGCGAAUUCUAGAAAGGGUCGGUUUUUUGGACUACAAAAGAUUGGUGUAAAGAAGAUACCAGAACAUGUGAGGUCUCAUAAGCUUACUGAACUUGAGAAAGCAAAAGGAACCCUCUUGCUGGCAACUUUACCCAAGUCUCUACCUUGUAGAACCAAAGAAAUGGAAGAGAUAACUACAUUCGUAAAAGGUGCCAUAUGCGAUGAUCAAUGCCUGGGUAGAUGCCUUUACAUACAUGGUGUUCCUGGGACAGGAAAG
This 415-nucleotide unclassified non-coding RNA is filed under the name Hevea brasiliensis (rubber tree). The record is from RNAcentral. Lineage: Eukaryota; Viridiplantae; Streptophyta; Magnoliopsida; Malpighiales; Euphorbiaceae.